Paramuricea clavata is the source of this 783-nucleotide non-coding RNA. NCBI's taxonomy places the organism in Eukaryota, Metazoa, Cnidaria, Anthozoa, Malacalcyonacea, Plexauridae. The record is from the annotation of a GenBank genome assembly.
CACAUAUUGACUUGAAACAAUUUAUUAAAUAAAGUCUUGAUCAGAAAAUUAGUGUUUCAUAAUUUAAAUUCCAUCUUGAGUACUUAUAGAGUGUGUCAAUUUGCAGUAGGAUUGGCUAAAUUAGAUAUAGCAUUUAAAUUAACACGCGUAAAAAUCUUGUCGACAAGAUGAACUCGCACUGCUUGUUCUAGCCUGCGAACAGGCUCUCAAGCUGAAUUGAGAGCCUGCAUCGAUGACUAAUGAAUUUGAAUAUCUGCCCCGUAACAUUCAGCUUGAGAGCCUGUUCGCAGGCUAUGCUUGUUCCAAUUCCAAGUUGUUAACAAGUCCGGAACAAGUUGUUAUCAUUUUGUAACAAGGUUGAUGAGCAACAGACUCGCUACAAGUUGUUCCAACAAGUCUGAUAUUGUCUGCACGUAACAAGUUGUUAACAAGUCCGGAACAAGUUGUUAUCAUUUUGUAACAAGGUUGAUGAGCAACAGACUCGCUACAAGUUGUUCCAACAAGUCUGAUAUUGUUUGCACGUAACAAGUUGUUAACAAGUUGAUGACAACAAGCUUGUAGCAAUUGACCAUUUGCGUAAUAGACUAAAUUUUGAUCUAGACAAAAAUUUCAUCACAGCUUGAAAGAGCAUCACAAAAUUAGUAAUAUACCAAAGUUUCGUUGCAAAAUGUUGUAAAAUGCAGAAAAUACAGCCUUGCGAAGUUUGCAAUUUUCAGUCAUUUUAGAUUACAAACGGGAAAUUGACAGCCCCAACACCCUUCGAGGCUGUCAAUUUCCCGUUUG